GCCGUUCGAGGACGCGCGUGAACCCCCGUGUCUAGGUUGACUGAUUGGCAAGUAAUAUGUCGCAUCCGGUUUUAAAGAACAAAACCAGGCUAGCCAUAUGUGUGCCCAGGAAGUCCACACAUAUAACAACAGAAAGAAAUAGUAUCAGAAAACAAUAUUAUAUAGCGGAAACAUACUUAUAAUUAACACUUACAUCAGAGAAUCAUAACACAAUAACUAAUCUUCAGGCUCAAUCUUCACAGGGACGGCUGACUGGGGUAACAUAUGCCUAGCACUUCUUGUAUUCUGAGAACAUCCUUCAUGAUUCCCUCGCUCUUCUGAUCAACUCUUACUAGUAAACUGGAGUGGUGGGAAAUUGCAAGAGUGAGCACAUAUCGUAUUCAACAAGUAUAACCAGGGGUUCAUGAGGCUCAAAUAGCUGACACUGGUUUGACUGCAUUUAGCUUUUAAUGGUGGGUAGCAUGUUCAUUAAUUAAUAGCAAAUGUCAAGGUAGUAGAAAUAAUCCAUUAAUCACAUGAUCAAGUGUAAGCAUAAUUAAUCUCAUAGCAUAAACGAUAAUCAAAUGAACAUAACAACUUAACAAGCUCAUCGUCGUCGAUGCAAGAACCCCCAAGGCCGCUCAUAACCGUGAGCACGGCUAGUAUACUAGUUUUAACACUCUGCAGAGGUUGUACAUCUUUACCCAUGAGUCAUGAUUUACCCUUUCGCCCGAGGUAGCUAAUCUCUUAACCCCCUUCCUAGGGAGGUCGGCAUGGAUCACUAUGAAGCCUUUCAAAAGUUCGUCUAACAUGUUAGGGCCGCAAGGUUUCCUUUGCGAGCAGAUAUAGAUACCCCCCUUCCGAAUGGCACAAUGACGCGCAGCCUAUACACAUAGGGACAGGGGCUCGCACUAUACCCGUGUCGGUUCAGCCCCUCCGCCCUUUCGGGUAACCUCUAACAAGCUAGAAAAGGUCUUCAUACUGAGCUAAAGCCAGAGCCAUUAUAGCCCUCAUGGUUGCACUGUUGUCCCGAUGAUCACUUACAGACAAGAUCUCAUAUAGUUAUUUGUCAUCUUUUAACGUUCAUUGCAUAGCUAUUAAUCACCUUACACGAUCAUGGAUUAUAUCAAGCACUAGCACAUCUACACCAAAUGCAUAUCAAGUAGGUAACAAGGAAUCCAGGUAACAAUCAUCUAUGAUUUUGCUAAGGUCGACAAGGUGAUAGCAUGCAUAUGAUAUAUAUGUGUAGUUAUAAGUGAAUAGGUAACAAGGAUGAUCCCAAGUUAUACUUGCCUUAAAGACUUGCUCAAUUCUCACACCAUCAGCUUUUGGUCAUCAUCUUCUAAUCUUCCGCGUCCACGGACAGUUCUUGUCUAUUCGUAUCAAGCACCACACAUAGGCAAACAUACAAGCAACAAACAGAACACUAAGAACAAUACACCAUACAAGACAAAAGAGCAUACUAAAAGAGAAUCAACGCUACAAGAUCACAACAAACACCGAAACGGAACCUAUCGUUAAAAGAAAUGAAUAACGGUACUUUUAUACUAUAAAAGAGAAGCUUAAACAUUUAAUUUAUUUAAGUAAAUAAAAUAAUGUAAAAGUUAUUAAUUCAGAUUAAUGUGAACAUAUUUAUUUUCAAAAUUCAAGCUAAAACUAAUCAUAUUUUAUUUAUAAAUAUUUAGAUUUCAUUUAUGUCAAUUCAACACUAACUUGUGAAUACCAAUUGACAUUGGAGCGCAUUGAAUUGGGUUUAACAUGCGUAUUUAGACUAGACAAAUUAUAGUUUAGGUACAUGAUUAUGUUAGCGAUUAAUCAUGUUAACAUUUAUAUAUAAAAUCCAUAAAUAUAAAACCUAUAUUGAUUUUUAGUUAUAAAACUGGAUGCAAGUGUAUUAUUCAAUUUAUUAUUUAACUAUGUAUAGAAAAACAUGUGGCGAUUAAACUUAAGCACUUAUGUUUUAAGGUCGAACUAAGCAUUUUAUAAUUCAAAAGACAUCAUGGUUAAUACUAGUUCAAAUAACAUUAAUUUAUGAAGGACCGAAAUAUAACCUAUUAUGCUUUUAAUUAGGAAUAUAAUUGCGUAAGCAUAAAUUAAAUUAAUAUUUAACUUAUGAAAUUUAAUGAUGUGAUAUAUGUUAAACAUCGCCGCUAACAAGUAGUUUCGGUCUACACGAUUGCAUGCAACGAGAAUUGAGGUUAAUUUUUAAUUAGAAAUUAUUUAAUAAAUGAUAAACAAAUUGUAUUCAAAUAAAUAAAUCUAAAAGGAAGUUAUGUAAUAAACAUUUAUUCUACUGCGUAGAGCAUGAUGGCACAAAUCUAACACAAUUUGAACGAACCGAAUCGGUGUUAGGAUAAUCAAAUUGCGCAAGUUACGAAUGAGUGGCAAAACUGUAAAUACCUCUUCAUCUUCCUUGGUCCGUCUAGGUACCGAACGGCAAAGGCCAUGGAGGCUGCUGUGAUCCUCGACGUAGGAAAGGGAGGGGUCCUCGGCCAGGCCAGGCUGGACCGUCAGCAGCAUCCACCCGUGCUCCGUGCGUACUCGCACAACAUGGGUUGGUGCCCACCACAUCAGGGCACGGCCGAGCGGACCAGGGCGACGACGGAUGCAUGGAGCUGGAUGGCUGGGCUGGAUCGGCACGUCGGACUGGCAACGGCUGAGCCAAGCAUGGGGAACCGGCCACGGCGAGUGCAGCCCUGCACGCACACUCGCCCAGCGGGCUAGUUCGGUAGAGACCGAGCAGCAACAUCAAAACAAAAAGAUCGGAAGACCAUGGAGUUCACCGGAAUCCUUAUCGGUAAUGAGAUGUGUUAGGGAAACAAUCAAGCAGAUAUGGAUUUAUAAAAGGAGUAGCGUGCCGGUGAAGAGAACGACGAGAACAACCUUUAGGUGGUGACGGUUUUCGCAGGGGACGUCGAAGAUGGCCGGAAAAGCUCGCCGAAGGUUCGCCGGAGUUCUAGGUUUCGAAACUUCGGCGUUAGAUCUACGACGAUAGGAGUGGCGGCUCACAAAUCGGGCUAUACUUCUGAAAUCAGGGCGUCGAGGGCUACGCCGGCAUAUAUAUAUUGUUAGGGUUUGACGUCGUAGAAAAAUUGGAUAUUUUAUUAUUUUCGGAUUUAAUUAAUUUCGUGAAUAAAAAUAAUUCCAGAAAGUCCAGAAUUGAUAUUUAAGGUCCGAAAAAUACUCCAAAGGCUAUAAAAAUUAUGAGAAAAUUCUUAGAGAUAUUUUAGAACAUGAGAAACCCAAAUAAAGUAUUUAGAGCUAAUAAAAAGAUAUCUAGGAGUAUCUCAAAAUUAGAUUAUGCUCAAAUUCAAGUGGAAAUAAAUUCUAGAAAAAUGCUGAAAUAAUUCCUGAUAAGUCUUAAUAGGUCGGUUGAUGGAAGAUGAGCUCAAAGAAAUAAUUUAGAGUAGAAUAAGAUGAUAUGGAAAGCUCCAAAUAAGAAGAUUAAGAUCAAGAAAGAGAAGACUUGAUUAUAAAAAAAAACAGAGACAUGUCGGAUAAAAAAAAACAACGACUUACUAACGGAGUCUAAAUUUUAGCCAAACAUAAGCCAAGCAGCAAGCAAGCAUCACACCACAUCAACAAAAGCCCAUCAAAUUAAUUUAGAAAAUUUUAAAGAAUGAUAUAUUUCUUGUAACUAAUUGACGCUAUUUUAAACUGAUGUUUAAAAUUUUAUCCCAAUAUAUAAAUAUUUAUUUUAAUUACUAUUUUCUAUGCAUAACCCAAAAUCAAAAAAAAUUUGGGGUAUGACAUAAUACCUCAAGUCCUCAUUUUGCUAGGGUGGGCGGAAGAUCUCUAUAAUUUCAUAUUGUUUCCCCCCUAGUGUGCCCCUCUUAUGGCGUGUCGUUAUACUAAACUCUAUUUCUCAUCUUAAUACAAAGAUACGCAAACCUUUUAUACAUAUUAAAAAAAGCAGCCA
This 3898-nucleotide long non-coding RNA is filed under the name Sorghum bicolor (sorghum). Its description in RNAcentral is "long non-coding RNA (SBIC_LNC000196)". The record is from RNAcentral. Lineage: Eukaryota; Viridiplantae; Streptophyta; Magnoliopsida; Poales; Poaceae.